This 258-nucleotide long non-coding RNA is filed under the name Serinus canaria (Common canary). RNAcentral's name for it is "lncRNA (ENSSCAG00000016524.1)". The record is from RNAcentral. Lineage: Eukaryota; Metazoa; Chordata; Aves; Passeriformes; Fringillidae.
CCGGUUGCUCCCUCCCACGGCUUCCCCUUUUCUCAGAAAGCCUGGAAACCAAAGGUGAAAGAAGUGGGUGGAAACUUGCGCUGCCGUCCAGGAAGAGAAGUGAGUGAGUAAGUCGGCUGCAAUAUUUAACAGUGCCUCCGGCCCCGCCGCCCGCAGACCCGCCUCGACGGGAGCCGAAGCUGUCGGAUGGAGACACAGCUGGCUGGAGCUGGGGAAGCUGACUCGCACUGGCUGCUUGGCUCUGAGAACUGAAUUCCA